GAUGAACGCUAGCGGCAGGCCUAAUACAUGCAAGUCGAACGAGAUUGAGGAGCUUGCUCUUCAUGAAAGUGGCGCACGGGUGCGUAACGCGUAUGCAACCUACCUUAAUCAGGGGGAUAGCCUCUCGAAAGAGAGAUUAACACCGCAUAACAUUAUUAUAUGGCAUCAUAAGAUAAUCAAAUAUUUAUAGGAUUAAGAUGGGCAUGCGUGACAUUAGUUAGUUGGCGGGGUAACUGCCCACCAAGACGAUGAUGUCUAGGGGAUCUGAGAGGAUGACCCCCCACACUGGUACUGAGACACGGACCAGACUCCUACGGGAGGCAGCAGUAAGGAGUAUUGGUCAAUGGGCGCAAGCCUGAACCAGCCAUGCCGCGUGCAGGAAGACGGCCCUACGGGUUGUAAACUGCUUUUAUACUGGAAUAAACCUACUUACGUGUAAGUAGCUGAAUGUACAGUAAGAAUAAGGAUCGGCUAACUCCGUGCCAGCCGCCGCAGUAA
This 498-nucleotide ribosomal RNA is filed under the name uncultured bacterium. RNAcentral describes it as "partial 16S ribosomal RNA". It matches the Rfam family "Bacterial small subunit ribosomal RNA", at positions 28 to 523 of the family's 1533-position model. The record is from RNAcentral.